AGAAUCAACGCUGGCGGCGUGCCUAACACAUGCAAGUCGAACGCGGUUACCCCGCAAGGGGUGACUGAGUGGCAAACGGGUGAGUAACGCGUGGGUGACCUACCUUCGAGUGGGGGAUAACGUUUCGAAAGGAACGCUAAAUACCGCAUGACAUCCUGCCUUUGGACAGGCGGAGAUCAAAGCCGGGGAUCGCAAGACCUGGCGCUUAAAGAGGGGCCCGCGUCCGAUUAGCUAGUUGGUGGGUAACGGCUCACCAAGGCGACGAUCGGUA
RNAcentral lists this ribosomal RNA (271 nucleotides) under uncultured bacterium. Its description in RNAcentral is "partial small subunit ribosomal RNA". It matches the Rfam family "Bacterial small subunit ribosomal RNA", at positions 26 to 285 of the family's 1533-position model. The record is from RNAcentral.